AUUGAACGCUGGCGGCAGGCCUAACACAUGCAAGUCGAGCGGAUGACGGGAGCUUGCUCCUUGAUUCAGCGGCGGACGGGUGAGUAAUGCCUAGGAAUCUGCCUGGUAGUGGGGGACGACGUUUCUAAAGGAACGCUAAUACCGCAUACGCCCUACGGGAGAAAGCAGGGGACCUUCGGGCCUUGCGCUAUCAGAUGAGCCUAGGUCGGAUUAGCUAGUUGGUGGGGUAAUGGCUAACCAAGGCGACGAUCCGUAACUGGUCUGAGAGGAUGAUCAGUCACACUGGAACUGAGACACGGUCCAGACUCCUACGGGAGGCAGCAGUGGGGGAUAUUGGACAAUGGGCGAAAGCCUGAUCCAGCCAUGCCGCGUGUGUGAAGAAGGUCUUCGGAUUGUAAAGCACUUUAAGUUGGGAGGAAGGGCAGUAAUCUAAUACCUUGCUGUUUUGACGUUACCGACAGAAUAAGCACCGGCUAACUCUGUGCCAGCCGCCGCAGUAA
Molecule: ribosomal RNA, 500 nt
Filed under: uncultured bacterium
Lineage: Bacteria
Description: partial 16S ribosomal RNA
Rfam family: Bacterial small subunit ribosomal RNA
Source: RNAcentral